RNAcentral lists this ribosomal RNA (460 nucleotides) under uncultured bacterium. RNAcentral's name for it is "partial 16S ribosomal RNA". It matches the Rfam family "Bacterial small subunit ribosomal RNA", at positions 338 to 795 of the family's 1533-position model. The record is from RNAcentral.
CCUACGGGAGGCUGCAGUGAGGAAUAUUGGUCAAUGGACGCAAGUCUGAACCAGCCAUGCCGCGUGCAGGAAGACGGCUCUAUGAGUUGUAAACUGCGUUUGUACGAGGGUAAACGCAGAUACGCGUAUCUGUCUGAAAGUAUCGUACGAAUAAGGAUAGGCUAACUCCGUGCCAGCCGCCGUGGGAAUACGGAGGAUUCAAGCGUUAUUCGGAUUUAUUGGGUUUAAAGGGUGCGUAGGCGGUCGGAUAAGUUAGAGGUGAAAUCCCGAGGCUCAACGUCGGAAGUGCCUUUGAUACUGUUCGGCUAGAGAGUAGUUGAGGUAGGCGGAAUGUAAGGUGUAGCGGUGAAAUGCUUAGAGAUCAUACAGAACACCGAUUGCGAAGGCAGCUUACCAGGCUACUUCUGACGUUGAGGAACGAAAGCGUGGGGAGCAAACAGGAUUAGAUACCCCGGUAGUC